AUGCGUUAGCUGCGAUACUGAAAAUAAAUUUCCACAUCUAGCAAUCAUCGUUUAUGGUAUGGACUACGAGGGUAUCUAAUCCUCUUUGCUACCCAUACUUUCGCGCCUCAGCGUCAGUGUUGAUCCAGAAAGCCGCCUUCGCAACUGGUGUUCUACAUAAUAUCUACGAAUUUCACCUCUACACUAUGUAUUCCGCUUUCCUCUAUCAAACUCUAGUCGAGCAGUUUUAAUUGCAGUUCCAAAGUUAAGCUUUGGGAUUUCACAAUUAACUAACUCAACGGCCUACGCGCGCUUUACGCCCAGUAAUUCCGAACUACGCUAGGUCCCUUCGUAUUACCGCGGCUGCUGGCACGAAGUUAGCCGGACCUUAUUCUUAGGGUACAGUCAUUAUCUUCCCCUACAAAAGAGCUUUACAACCCAAAGGCCUUCUUCACUCACGCGGCAUCGCUGCAUCAGAGUUUCCUCCAUUGUGCAAGAUUCCCCACUGCUGCCUCCCGUA
This 499-nucleotide ribosomal RNA is filed under the name uncultured Pelagibacterales bacterium. RNAcentral's name for it is "partial 16S ribosomal RNA". The record is from RNAcentral. Lineage: Bacteria; Pseudomonadati; Pseudomonadota; Alphaproteobacteria; Candidatus Pelagibacterales.